AAUUUUGGCUAUUUUUCAUAUUUAGUUUGCGUACAGUAAUUAACAACUUUAAGCUUAUACAUUAACUUUAGUUAUAGCUUAGUUAUUAAUGAUUUGGUUUAUAGAUUUUUAAAGCAAUACAAGAUUGAAUUUAGCAGAAGGCUAAAUUUCUGCUCUGGAGACAAAAAAGAAAAACAGCGAAAAUGACCAGUCAAAAUAAAGAUUAAAGAGACAAAAAAUUGCGUAAAUCUUGGUGUAGAUGAUUUAUCUUCAUUUUGUUAUAAUAAAACAAAAAAUGUUAUUAAACUUUGGGAUUUGCCUGUAACUCCAAACUUUUUACAGAAGUUCAAUGUUUGCUCUGAGAAGUUGAAUGAACAAAUUUAUUAAAUGAUAAAGUUGUAUCCUUGAAAGAUAUGCUGGUAUUAUUGGCACAAUGGGCAAGCAUUGAAGUGCAACUUGGUGAAAUACAAAACACAUAAAAUUCAGUUAUAAAAAUUUGAGUAACAAAGGUUGUGUAUUUUUGCAGGUCAAUUGUUUGGCACAAUUUGGAGUUAAAGACAAAGGAGAUUGUAUAUGUUAUUUACUAAGAAUUGUUUUUUAAAAUGGCAUAGCUGUAAAAUUAAACUAUACAGGGAGAGGACAAAAAAUUGGAAUAGGAAAAAUGUUGAUUGCAUAUGUUGCUAUUGAAACUGUGAAGUCAA
Non-coding RNA from Hydra vulgaris (swiftwater hydra), 680 nucleotides. Lineage: Eukaryota; Metazoa; Cnidaria; Hydrozoa; Anthoathecata; Hydridae. The record is from RefSeq and is a predicted model, not a curated record.